UUCAAAAGUUAUAAAAUAUGUUCUUAAACAAUAAUAUUGCAAAGUAUUAAACAAUAUGAAAUUUGCUGCUGAAUCCAACUUAAUUUAAUCUUACUAAAUGGUGAAUGUAAAUUAAAUUUUUAUCAUAUGACAUUCACUGUAUAAUAUAUCAAGUUUUUGCAUUUUACAAAACACUGCAUAGUAUGUUUAUUUCAUGUGACAUGGUUUUCUAUGGUUCUGAUAAAUGAAGACAUACCAAGUUGUAGCACUGAUUUAUGAUUACUGUGUAUAACAGUAAUAUUUGUUUUAGAGGCUGUAUAACGAUGAUAUUGCAUAAAAAUUGAACAAGGAACUACAUGCAAUGUUUGUGCAAAAUAUAAAUCCAGUCACUUAAAAUUCCAUGAUCAGUGGGUAUAAAAAUUUUGAAACUGGAAGUGACAUGAUCAAAUUGCUCUUAAAAAUUGUACUACACACCAUAAUAAAGUUCCAAAUGAAUUUAUUUAUAAUUCCUUAAUAAGGAUGCUGAGAAAUGUGACAAAAAUGGUAUAUUAAUAGGGAAUUAAUUAUCAAUUUUCUAUGGGUCUUAGAAAGAAUGCUUUGUUUUAUCAGGGAUCAGGGAUUUCACGUACAAAAACAACUAUCAACCCUAAUCAAUAGUUAAAGACUUGGAUAGACAACUGAAAAGGAAAAGGAAAUACAUUUACACCAGAUGAAAAAAAUGUACCUUUACAAUAAACAUUUUACUACAACAAAUUAUACAGUUAACAAUCAUUGUAUUACAAUUCAAACACAUAAAUUAACAACAUGAACAAUAAAAUAAAGCACUGAUUUGUUGCAGGAAUAGCUGUUUCUAGUAAUAAGUUGUAACCUCAUUCCUGAAUCAUUUAAAAAUUGCAAAUAAAUGAAAAAGUCAAGGCUUAAUUAGUCAAUAUGUCUCAUGUUUUUUUUCUAACAAUCUAACUUGAAAGUGCUGGAGUAAAACAGAGAUGAAAGUAUGGUAUCCAUUAAGGAAAUCAAUAAUUCAUAUUUUAUACUCAUCACCAUAGGAUUGCUUUGAAGCAAAAUCGAACAAGCCAUUUGGAAGGGGGGUAACUCUAUCAAAACAUAAUUUCAAAAGUCAUAUUCACUUUUUAUGAAAUAAAAACUUAUACUGUCAAUUAAAUGAGGGAUUGUACAAAUGUAUAUCCCUUUUAUGCAUCAACUAAUGGAAAACUAUACCAAAUAUCACUUAUCAUGAUCAUGAUCUAUCCACGGAAAUUGUGACGGAACUUUAAAUUUUUAAUGUAACAUAAUCAUUGAGCUGUUUAUGCUUUUCUAGCCAAAAAUAAGAAAAGCUUUUAUAUAAUAUAUUAAAACAAAUAAAAAUUUCAAAAUCAUUAAAACAUAAACCGGAUAAGAAUCUUAUAAUGACCUUGAAACUACUGGUAAAAUAUGCAGAUGCCUAUGAAACAAAUGAACAGUACUGAGGGUUAAGAAUUUAAU
Molecule: long non-coding RNA, 1461 nt
Filed under: Mytilus galloprovincialis (Mediterranean mussel)
Lineage: Eukaryota; Metazoa; Mollusca; Bivalvia; Mytilida; Mytilidae
Source: RNAcentral